UACAGAGGUCUCAAGCGUUGUUCGGAUUCAUUGGGCGUAAAGGGCGCGUAGGCUGCGGGGCAAGUCGGGUGUGAAAUCUCAAAGCUCAACUCUGAAACUGCACUCGAUACUGCUUUGCUCGAGGACUGGAGAGGAGAUUGGAAUUCACGGUGUAGCAGUGAAAUGCGUAGAUAUCGUGAGGAAGACCAGUGGCGAAGGCGGAUCUCUGGACAGUUCCUGACGCUGAGGCGCGAAGGCCAGGGGAGCAAACGGG
Molecule: ribosomal RNA, 253 nt
Filed under: uncultured bacterium
Lineage: Bacteria
Description: partial 16S ribosomal RNA
Rfam family: Bacterial small subunit ribosomal RNA
Source: RNAcentral